Molecule: long non-coding RNA, 2970 nt
Organism: Peromyscus leucopus (white-footed mouse)
Lineage: Eukaryota; Metazoa; Chordata; Mammalia; Rodentia; Cricetidae
Exons: 3
Source: RefSeq, a predicted model, not a curated record
GGCCGCCCCGAGCCUGCCCCGGCGCCUUCUCUCCGGUUCGCCCCGAUUCUGCUUUCCCCCCCAGUCUGCUUCGGAUUGCUGUCUCCCGCACCCCACGUUCUCAGCCAGAGGGACCAGGGUGGUGUGGACUGGGGGUGGAGCCGUUCCUUGUACCCACUGUCCCACCUGCCCCCUCUAACCCUCCCCCAGCAAGCGCCGAGAGAUGAGAACUAACGGCUAGAGACCCAGAAAGGUGAGGUUGCCCCAGGCGCGGGGUCCUCAAAACCAGUAAUCCUCAUGUUGGUGCCGGGAGAGGCUCGAAGGUAGGGAAACUGAGGCUUAGAAAAGGACGUUGGCCAAGGUCACCAGGCAGGGCCAAGCACAGAUCUGCAGGAGACUCCACCGGCCUGUGGCUGACACCAGCAGUUGACUGGAUCCCACACGGGGCUCUAGUCCUGGAUCCUUUCUGAGCCCUUGCCACUCGGCUUGCAGAGCAGAAGCCAAGGUCUAUCUCAUGUCCCCAGGGGCAGUGAGGAGGAGACCGACGACCCAGAGCCUGUUGGUCACAUGGCUGCAGCCCUCCAGCGAGAGAAGUCCGGACGCUGACCCCUUCCUCCCAAGAGCAGCAGAGUUCCUGCCCUGCCUAAGACAGGGCCCUUCCUUCUGGGCACUGGAGGCCUCUCUUUUCAAGAUAACAGCUCGCUGGCUGGACCUGCACUCUGCCGCCCGCUGCCGCUUGCCACCCACGUUCAGCACCAGGGAGAGCGCCCAGCAGGGCUCUGGCAGGCCCUGAGCUGAGAGGAAAUGGUGUAGGACCCAGGAGAGCCUGCCAAGACAACCUGAACCAGUGACCAGAGGAAGCCAAACUUGAAGGAAGGGCGUACCGAGACCAUCCUCCUCUUCAGUGCCCCUGCUGCUGGGAGCAGGGCAGGCCUGGGACUGUCCCUCCAGAAUCUGAUGCUCCCUGGACAGUGCAGGUCGUCCUGGGCCUGUCCCCUGCUGCUGAGUCCCCAAGAGGAUUGCUGUCCACAUCUGGGUAACUCAGAGAAAGGACUCCUGUCCUGUGGGGGAUAGAGUGGUUUUCCUCUGAGGCUAAGUGCAGGAUGAACCCAGGCAUGGGAGGUAAUGGGGCUCAAAACAGCUGUGAGCAGUCACAUGGGCCCUGAGCCUCUUCCCUCCCAUCAUAUAAAUGAGCAGAGCACACAGGACCCUUCGGGGCCUCCCAUGAUGCCUCAGAGGACCGAAGCAGGUGCUGCUGCAGCCUUUGGGCUGCGGUGUACACAGUGUCCAGGCCUCUCCUGGGACUGCCACAAGGAUUAAAGCUUGAUGAAGAUUGCAAAGGCUGCUGGACGCAGCGGUGCGUGCCUGUAACCCGAGUAUUGAGAUCAAUCCAUGUGAGUCUAUUUAAUAGGUAAUAGGCAUUUAUUAAGACAUAAAUUGAGGAAAUACACUCACGAAUACAGAACGGAGUAGACAGCUCCCAUACAAUGGCGGGAAGCACCACCUCCCAUAUAGCCCAAGAUCAUGGGCAGAGCAAAUACCACUACACUUUAGCACUAGGGAGGCAGAGGCAGGCAGAUCUCUGCAUGUUCGAGGCCAGCCUGGUCUACAUAGUGAGUUCCAGGACAGCAGGGCUGCCUAGUGAGACCUUGUCUUAGUGCAGAGGCUGGCCAGCAAGGUAACUCAGUGGGCAAAAAACGCUUGCCAUGCAUGCUUAAUGACAGGAGUUUGAUUCCUAGAACCCACAUAAAAAUAGAACCAACUCCACAAAGCAUACUGUGGUAUGUAUGGGCAGCCCCCUCAGCCACACACACACUAAUGAUAAUAAUAGUAAUAAUUAAUAAUGACAAAUUAAAAUAUUAUAAUACAGAGUCUAGGUAUGUGUGGUGCACACCUAUAAUCUGAACACUUGGGAGGGCAUUUGAGUCUGAGGCAGUCUAGGCUACAUACUGAGUUUUGGGCCAGCUGGGGCUACAUGGGGACACCCUGUCUCAAACAAGCAAGCAAGCAAACCGUAUUAUGCUGAAUGAAUGAUAUGAAUCUGUAAUCCCAGCGCUGUGGAGGCAAAGACAAGAGAUCAGGAGUCUGAGGUCAUCCUUUCCACUGCAAGUUUGAGGCCAGCCUGGGAUAUAUGAGAUACUCCCUAAAAAUAAAAAUUUUAAAAAUGCCAAGGGCAACAUAGGCUACUAUUGUCAUUAAUUACUCUUACAUUUCUCAGGCCUGACCAGAGCAGGUGUUCAGGAGACAACGGUCUUGAUCGCAUGAACACAGGGUCUGUGCUAGGACGGGGAGGAGGCUCGGGUGGUGUCUGGACGGGCUGUGAGGAGCUGGGGGAGCCUGGGGAGGGACUUUGCUGUCCGGCUAGUGGAGCAGGGAGACUCUAAUGAAGUGAGUUAGCUCCGGGCCACACUGAUUUCACGUCUCGAUGGCCACUUCUCAGCUGGUAAAUGUCACUGGAGAGCAGCAGACAGUCCUGGCAAUGGCCCAGCUGCAGAUGGGGGUGGGCUGGCUGCCAGAGGGGCUGAGGAUGCCCUGGGAAUGCUGAUGCAGGACCAGGGUCCCCAUCCCUGUGGCUUCCAGGACGGCUGCACCCUCCAGGCUGUAGUUCUGUCACCAACUGGGGGACGCUUGUAACUGCCGGUCCUGAUUCUGACCCUCCACCACGCGAUCUCCAGGCUGCUUCUUGGCUGGCCGGAUUUACCCCUUUCUUUGCCUUGCAGAGGUUCCAAAAGGGGGGCCCAGCUGCCCUGGGCUUCUGAGUGGGAAGUAGAACCAUGCAGAGCUCUCUGGGCCCAUGCUCCGUCUUCAGCUGUCACCCUCGAUGACUGAUCCAGGACACGCACACAGUACACACAGCUAUAACCACACAGCAGCCAGCUUCACUUAAUGCACUCUCUCGCUGCAGCAGGCCUUGGCUCAGAACCAAGGCUCCCUGAUCUAAUGUGGCCCCAGGAAGAGCCUGUAGUGGGCUCAGAAGUGACUCCUGUUGGA